Molecule: ribosomal RNA, 269 nt
Filed under: Bacillus sp. (in: firmicutes)
Lineage: Bacteria; Bacillati; Bacillota; Bacilli; Caryophanales; Bacillaceae
Description: partial 16S ribosomal RNA
Rfam family: Bacterial small subunit ribosomal RNA
Source: RNAcentral
GGAUGACGUCAAAUCAUCAUGCCCCUUAUGACCUGGGCUACACACGUGCUACAAUGGGCAGAACAAAGGGCAGCGAAGCCGCGAGGCUAAGCCAAUCCCACAAAUCUGUUCUCAGUUCCGAUCGCAUUCUGCAACUCGACUGCGUGAAGCUGGAAUCGCUAGUAAUCGCGGAUCAGCAUGCCGCGGUGAAUACGUUCCCGGGCCUUGUACACACCGCCCGUCACACCACGAGAGUUUGUAACACCCGAAGUCGGUGAGGUAACCUUUUG